GGGGAAAAAUUAGUUAAUUAUUAAAUAAAAAAAAAAUUUUUAAAUAAAUUAUUUUAAUGGGGGUUAAAGUAUUUUUAUUGAAAAAAUUAAAUAAUUUAUAGUAAAUUAGUAUUGUAAAAGAAUUUAGAAUUAAAUAAAAAAAAUUAAUUAUAAGUAAUUUUAAUUUAAUGUAUCUUGUGUAUCAGAGUUUAUUAAAAAAUAUUUUUAAUAAAAAAAUUCUCGAAUUUAAAAGAGAUAAUUAAUUAAUAAAGUUAUUGUAGCAUAAAUAUUUAAAAUAAUUAGUUUGAAAUGAAAUGUUAAUCGUUUUUAAAUAUAUCUAGUUUUUUUAGAAAAAAAUUUAAUUUUUUAUUAUUUAAUAAAAAAAUUAAUUAAUUAAUUUUUUUAUUAAAUAAUAUUAUAUUUUAAGGGAUAAGCUUUAAUUUAAAUUUAUAUAAAUAUUUAAAUUAAAUUAAUUGAAAUUUAUAUAAUUUAUAUUGUUAAAAAAUUUUAGUUUAUUAUAAAUAAUUUCAUUUAAAAUAAGAUUUAAUAAAAUUUUAUAUUUUUAUAAAAAAAAAAUUUUUAAUAUUAAAAAAUUUGAUAUAAUGAUAAAAUUAGUAUAUAAAUUUUAAAAAUUAUUAUUUUUAAAUGAAGUUAAUUAAAAGGAAUUCGGCAAAAAUUUAUAUUCACUUGUUUAUCAAAAACAUGUCUUUUUGAAAUUAAUAUAAAGUCUAAUCUGCCCACUGAUUUUUAAUUAAAGGGCUGCAGUAAUUUGACUGUACAAAGGUAGCAUAAUCAUUAGUCAUUUAAUUGAUGACUUGUAUGAAAGAUUGGAUGAAAUAUAAACUGUCUCUUAAUUAUAUUUAGAAUUUAAUUUUUUUAUUAAAAAGUUAAAAUAAUUUAAAAAGACGAGAAGACCCUAUAGAGUUUUAUAUAUUAAUUUAUUUAAGAUUAUUUAUAAAUUUAAAAUUAAAAUUAAAUUAUUUAUUUUGUUGGGGUGACAGAAAAAUAUAAUAAACUUUUUUUUUUAUUAUAAACAUAAAUAAGUGGUUAUAUGAUCCAAUAUUAUUGAUUAUAAGAAAAAAUUACCUUAGGGAUAACAGCGUAAUUUUUUUUUUUAGUUCGUAUAAAAAAAAGAGUUUGCGACCUCGAUGUUGGAUUAAGAUAAAAUUUAAAUGCAGAAGUUUAAAAUUUUUGAUCUGUUCGAUCAUUAAAAUCUUACAUGAUCUGAGUUCAAACCGGUGUAAGCCAGGUUGGUUUCUAUCUUUUAAUAAUAUGAAAUAUUUUAGUACGAAAGGAUUAAAUAUUUAAAUUAAAUUUAUAUUAAUGAAUUUUAUUA
RNAcentral lists this ribosomal RNA (1315 nucleotides) under Mamestra configurata (bertha armyworm). RNAcentral's name for it is "16S ribosomal RNA". The stretch from base 1072 to 1231 matches the Rfam family "Eukaryotic large subunit ribosomal RNA", at positions 2825 to 2984 of the family's 3401-position model. The record is from RNAcentral. Lineage: Eukaryota; Metazoa; Arthropoda; Insecta; Lepidoptera; Noctuidae.